GACGAACGCUGGCGGCGUGCUUAACACAUGCAAGUCGAACGGAAAGGCCCUGCUUUUGUGGGGUGCUCGAGUGGCGAACGGGUGAGUAACACGUGAGUAACCUGCCCUUGACUUUGGGAUAACUUCAGGAAACUGGGGCUAAUACCGGAUAGGAGCUCCUGCUGCAUGGUGGGGGUUGGAAAGUUUCGGCGGUUGGGGAUGGACUCGCGGCUUAUCAGCUUGUUGGUGGGGUAGUGGCUUACCAAGGCUUUGACGGGUAGCCGGCCUGAGAGGGUGACCGGCCACAUUGGGACUGGGAUACGGCCCAGAAUCCUACGGGAGGGAGCAGUGGGGAAUAUUGCACAAUGGGCGGAAGCCUGAUGCAGCAACGCCGCGUGCGGGAUGACGGCCUUCGGGUUGUAAACCGCUUUCGCCUGUGACGAAGCGUGAGUGACGGUAAUGGGUAAAGAAGCACCGGCUAACUACGUG
RNAcentral lists this ribosomal RNA (468 nucleotides) under uncultured bacterium. RNAcentral describes it as "partial 16S ribosomal RNA". It matches the Rfam family "Bacterial small subunit ribosomal RNA", at positions 28 to 507 of the family's 1533-position model. The record is from RNAcentral.